Molecule: unclassified non-coding RNA, 437 nt
Filed under: Hevea brasiliensis (rubber tree)
Lineage: Eukaryota; Viridiplantae; Streptophyta; Magnoliopsida; Malpighiales; Euphorbiaceae
Source: RNAcentral
UUAUUUUGAUAAAAAAAAUAAUAAUCCCUUGUGCUCUCUUUAAUUCUUUAUCAUAUGGAAGUAUGAUUUCUUUACGUAAUAAUUGGCUGAUAGGCUAAUUUUAAUAUGGAGGUAUGUUGGUUUUAAGAUACAUUUGGUUUAUUGUAGGUGAUAAUUGGCUAAUUUUCCGAAUGGUCUAUUCUGUUCUUAUAUCUGUAGUUUCUUCUGCACACUAGAGAAUGGUACAUGGAGAAAUAAACUGUGAGAUUUGUUGUGCUGUAAAUGAGCCAAGCUGAGUUGAGCGGCUUAGUUUAGUAGACUGGUAUAGUUGCUUUAGAGUCUGUUUGACAUUUUGUUGUAGAGAAAAACACAUCCGCAAAUAUGUUAAUUAAAGGGUAUUAAAAAUUAGUUUAAAAUUAAAUUUAACAUAUUUUAGUUAUAAGAACUUCAAAAUAAUU